GACGAACGCUGGCGGCGUAGCUUAACACAUGCAAGUUGAACGGGCAUACAUGGAAGCUUGCUGAAGUGUAUGUUAGUAGCGGACGGGUGAGUAAUGCAUGAGAAGCUGCCAUUGGAGGGGGACAACAGUUGGAAACGGCUGCUAAUACCCCGUAUGCCGAAAGGUAAAAGGGAGCAAUCCGCCUGAUGAGGUGCUCAUGUCCUAUCAGCUGGUUGGUGGGGUAACGGCCUACCAAGGCGACGACGGGUAGCCGGCCUGAGAGGGUGAACGGCCACACUGGAACUGAGAUACGGUCCAGACUCCUACGGGAGGCAGCAGUGGGGAAUAUUGGGCAAUGGGGGAAACCCUGACCCAGCGACGCCGCGUGAGGGAAGACGGCCUUCGGGUUGUAAACCUCUUUUGUACGGGAAGAAGGAAGUGACGGUACUGUACGAAUAAGUCCCGGCUAACUACGUG
Molecule: ribosomal RNA, 456 nt
Filed under: uncultured bacterium
Lineage: Bacteria
Description: bacterial SSU rRNA
Rfam family: Bacterial small subunit ribosomal RNA
Source: RNAcentral